GAUGAACGCUGGCGGCGUGCUUAACACAUGCAAGUCGAACGGGAUCCAUCAGGCUUUGCUUGGUGGUGAGAGUGGCGAACGGGUGAGUAAUGCGUGACCGACCUGCCCCAUACACCGGAAUAGCUCCUGGAAACGGGUGGUAAUGCCGGAUGCUCCGACUCCUCGCAUGGGGUGUCGGGAAAGAUUUCAUCGGUAUGGGAUGGGGUCGCGUCCUAUCAGGUAGUCGGCGGGGUAACGGCCCACCGAGCCUACGACGGGUAGCCGGCCUGAGAGGGCGACCGGCCACAUUGGGACUGAGAUACGGCCCAGACUCCUACGGGAGGCAGCAGUGGGGAAUAUUGCACAAUGGGCGCAAGCCUGAUGCAGCGACGCCGCGUGCGCGAUGACGGCCUUCGGGUUGUAAACCGCUUUUGAUCGGGAGCAAGCCUUCGGGUGAGU
This 438-nucleotide ribosomal RNA is filed under the name uncultured bacterium. RNAcentral describes it as "bacterial SSU rRNA". It matches the Rfam family "Bacterial small subunit ribosomal RNA", at positions 28 to 463 of the family's 1533-position model. The record is from RNAcentral.